This 253-nucleotide ribosomal RNA is filed under the name uncultured bacterium. RNAcentral's name for it is "partial 16S ribosomal RNA". It matches the Rfam family "Bacterial small subunit ribosomal RNA", at positions 524 to 776 of the family's 1533-position model. The record is from RNAcentral.
UACGAAGGGGGCUAGCGUUGCUCGGAAUCACUGGGCGUAAAGGGUGCGUAGGCGGGUCUUUAAGUCAGGGGUGAAAUCCUGGAGCUCAACUCCAGAACUGCCUUUGAUACUGGGGAUCUCGAGUCCGGAAGAGGUUGGUGGAACUGCGAGUGUAGAGGUGAAAUUCGUAGAUAUUCGCAAGAACACCAGUGGCGAAGGCGGCCAACUGGUCCGGUACUGACGCUGAGGUGCGAAAGCGUGGGGAGCAAACAGG